UUUGUCAGACCCUGUUUAUUAUCAAGGUAUAUUCUAUUUUUUGAGUAAACCUAUAUUCUAUUUUUGAGUAAGCUUAUAUUACUUUAAAUUGUUGAACCCCUAUUUAAAGUGAACCUUUAAACUAUGUUUCUAUUAAGAUCACCUCUCUGGUAUAUGCUACUGGUGAAACAAAGAGAUGGGAACAAAGAGACCUCUAUUCUAUAGGCCUUGUUUAUGUCUUAAACACAGACCACUUCCUUUAUUCGUAGAGUACAUAAAUCAUGAAUGACCAGUGGAUACACUUACUGGUACCCCUUUGUCUUGGGGAUAGGGAAUAGUGGGGUUGUUUGCCUGGUUUGGAAGAAAGAUUGGCUUUCUCGUUGAGAGCAAGUUUAGACUUCAAGGCAGAUAGACGUGUGAUGUAACUUCCCCCAGAAGUUACUAUGUCGCAGCUUUUUAAGACCUGCCUUGAUUUUGUUUCUUAACAGUUUCACCAUGGUUCCACCAUGGUUCCACUUCCAUUUCCCUCGGGACAAGAGUUGGGACUACUGUCGUUGUUCAGGCAACGGUCUCCGCCUGAUCGAUGUAUUUAGUGCUUCCUGACGAACGACUUGUGUUUUAUCAUUUGUACUUCAUAUGAACAUCUAUUCUUUUCUUCUAUUCCCUAAUAUGUUCUUUCUAAUGUACAGUGUAGUUUACUUUGCUCCUUUUCUAUCAUUUAUUGUAUACCUGUACACCACAUUGUAAAGUUUUGCAUGUAGCUGUUUUUGUAAGAAUUGUUUGUUUCAAAUCGAAAUGCCAGUUGUCACACUGGGAAUUUAUUAUCGGUGUACCUUUGACACUGAAUAUUAAUAAAUACCUCUUUGGGAUUAUCAUUGGCACAAAAUAUAUGUUUCAGACUUUUGUAUUUUAAUGGAUCUCCGUGUUUACUAAUCUUAAUUAAUUGAACCGGCGCAGGCAUAGGAAGCCUGUGUAACAU
Strongylocentrotus purpuratus (purple sea urchin) is the source of this 958-nucleotide long non-coding RNA. RefSeq lists it as uncharacterized. The record is from RefSeq and is a predicted model, not a curated record. Lineage: Eukaryota; Metazoa; Echinodermata; Echinoidea; Camarodonta; Strongylocentrotidae. The transcript is spliced from 2 exons.